Pelobates cultripes (western spadefoot toad) is the source of this 383-nucleotide non-coding RNA. Lineage: Eukaryota; Metazoa; Chordata; Amphibia; Anura; Pelobatidae. The record is from the annotation of a GenBank genome assembly.
AUCCCACUCACCUGGCCAUUACCUGAAUUCAUCCUUUCUCUACCCCAAUUCCAUUAGCCAAGCUAUCACCCACAUUCAUCUCUUCCCUGGAAGAAUUCAUUAGAAAUAACUCCCAUCCAUCUGUCCCCUUCCCAUUCUGUUAGCAAUUAAUACUGUCUGGGGGCGUGGCCUGGACAAGCAUGGUGCAGGACGCACGGUAAAGGAGCUCCGCACCCCAGACCGAGAAAUCGAGCAAUAUACAGCCCAUACUCAGAGGGAAAUGGUCCGGAACAAGAAACUGUCAGUACCGGGGACGCAGCCAACAAACUCCCCGCGGCGGAAUACGGGCCUGAUGGAUGAUUUCAUUGCAACGCCUGUGGAGCUGAGAGGCUCUCUCCCUGCCG